CACAAACUGACCAGACUCUCGAGGGGACAGCGGCUCCUCCAUUGCUCACUGCUUGGGAAGAAAUAUUGCACUACUAUCGCUAUAAUCAGAAUGAACAUGAAGACACUGGAUAAAGUCAUUAAAGUGCAUCACUGGUGAACUGUCAUGUAUUCGGUUUCUAGAAAGUGGACCAAGAAUAGGACUUGUUCAUUAUAAACCACCCAAGAUUUUAAGGAACACGAUUCAGUGACGGUUGCAACAGUCAAGCACUUAAGUUGGAGUCUGAUGACCUGAUGGAAUACUUCCCAAAUAUAUUUGGUUCGACCACCAACAUUUUUCUACUACAAAGCUAAACAGGGAAAAGGCUAUGUGCUCUCCUCAUCCAGUGUAUUUUUUAUUUUCUAAAACAUAAAACAGUUCAACACAUGUAACCACUUUUGCUUUAUUUCUUUGAUGGUUCAAAUGAUUGCUCUAGUUAGUUUUGUGUUUUGACCAUUUGUGAAACUCUGCCUCAUUUACCAUGCUUUGUGGGGUGACUUUUUUUUGCCAUGUCAUGACCAUUCAUAUCUAUGCAACCAAUGUGUUUAUGAUUAAGUUACACCUAGAGCACAAAAUUGUUUACAAGAGCACAAAGUUCUUUAUAGAUUUAGCCUCUUAAUUUUGCAGUCAAAGCACACAAGAUUGACGCAUUCAACUUUAAACAUACAAAAGUUUCUUACGCCGGACCAUGCUCCCGGACCCCCCUAGAGGGUUCGGGGUCCACCCACCGCAGUCUCACAAAUCCUGUGGGGAAACACUGAAAAGUGCUUCAAGUUGGAGUCCACUGACAUGACGGAAUGCAUUCCCAUUUUCGUCUGCAUGCAACAGCGCAUGUCUGCCUAAAACCAUCUGAAAAGAUGACGGGGAACCACCUGCAGCUACAGGAAGUCUAGGCUAAGUUAUGUUAACUUUUACCUACGUUACAGCUAGAAGAAUGCCUACAUAUUGUGGCAUACUUCUAAUAAAAAGUUGUUUAAGAGGAGAUCACUUUAUGGUUGUUAUUUAUUUCAUCCCAUCCGUUCACAUACAAAACAAUGCUCGGACAAUCUGUCAUUAAAUUCCCCUCAAGUGUCAAACUAGUAUGCAUGUUUCCAUGGCAACCAAUGUCUGAUGACAUACAGCUACAUAAUUUUUUUUAAAUACAUCUAUGUAAAGGUUGACAAUUAAAAAUCAUUAGUCAUGCAACCCCUAGUGCACACUCUAAACUGUACUUUAUACAGUACACUAGUAUUCCAUUCCAAAUGUUGU
This is a long non-coding RNA of Xyrauchen texanus (razorback sucker), 1266 nucleotides long. RefSeq lists it as uncharacterized. The record is from RefSeq and is a predicted model, not a curated record. The transcript is spliced from 3 exons. Lineage: Eukaryota; Metazoa; Chordata; Actinopteri; Cypriniformes; Catostomidae.